AACUAUCGACCACUUUCUCCACAACCGCUCUCCUCUCUCUCCCUCUCCACCAUGGCUUCUCUUCUCUCCCUCUCCAUUGUCUUGCAUUCUCUCUCCGCUGCACACACUCUCUCUCUUUGUUGUCACACUUCUUCUCUUCCAUCGAGAAACACAACCACAACAUCAUCGUCGCAAUCCAUCGAGGUACUAUUUUUCCUCUUUUUAUAUUUGC
Molecule: long non-coding RNA, 211 nt
Filed under: Cicer arietinum (chickpea)
Lineage: Eukaryota; Viridiplantae; Streptophyta; Magnoliopsida; Fabales; Fabaceae
Description: long non-coding RNA (CARI_LNC003142)
Source: RNAcentral